CACUAGUGCUAUUAUUCAAAGAUCCAGCAGGUGGAGACUUCAUCAAAGAUCUGUGAUCCCCUGAAUAGAUCACAAGUAAAACACACGUUUCCUGGGAAACUGUAGGCUCUUUCGUGCAUUUCUCAGAUCAAAAGUGCAAUUGUUGAUACCACUUGUACAAAUUCCAAAUCAUCUAGUCACGUGUGCACAUCAUUAAAGCAAUUUCUCCCAAUUUCCUUUGAACAAAUUGCAAUUGCUUUGGUACAUUUUGCAAUUGAUAAUGUACAAGUGUCAGCUUUUUUUCACAUUUUCAAUUGCUCAUCUCAUGUUGAAAAUAUAGUAGAUGGUUCUCUCUGGUUGAAUAGUCUUACCCCUCAAAACAUCUAGGCAUUUGUUCCUUGCAUAAGCCUUUACAUGCAAAAUUGUUGAACGGUUUGUCAUCAACUGUCAAGCAUAGUUUUACACAUUUCUAGAAGACCUUUUGUAUAAAACAUUGCAGACAGACCGGGACGUCUGGAUGUGUAGAGACAGCGCUAGAACAGUGCUGGGGGCAAAGUUGUGCCUUAGGUGUGUCCUGUGCUUUUCUAAUUUAGUUUUUUUUUCCGUUUGUGCCCCUCGUCUUUUUCUUACUGUAAAGUAUUUGGGGGGGGGGGGGUUCUUUCAUAAAGUAGCAGUAGUAAAAGCUGGAGAAAACUAUCCUGUCCAGUCUCUUUCAAUCUAUAACCCACAUACAGUAAUAUGAAAAUAGUAUUGACAUUGAUAUAUACCAUAGAAGUGCAGCCUUGUGCAUUUUCAUACAGUAACUCUCAAACUGUAGCCUAAGUUUAUCAUUCUGAUGACACUGACAUGAUCAUUGGCAUGAAUGUUUACUUUUGUGAGAUGUACUAAGCGAUUUAGUGACUGACUAGUUUUAGAGACAUACAGUGCAUCCGGAAAGUAUUCACAGCGCUUCAAUUUUCCACAUUUUGUUAUGUUACAGCCUUAUUCCAAAAUAGAUUAAAUUCAUUAUAUUCCUUAACGUUCUACACACAACAACCCAUAACGACAAAGUGAAAACUUGUUUUUUGCAAAUCUGUUAAAAAUAAAGAACAAAAAGAUAACAUGUACAUAAGUAUUCACAGCCUUUGCUCAAUACUUUGUUGAAGCACCUUUGGCAGUAAUUACAGCCUCAAGUCUUCUUGGAUGUGAUUCCACAAGCGUGGCACGCCUAUUUCUGAGAAGUUUCUCACAUUCCUCUUUGCAGAACCGCUCAAGUUCCAUCAGGUUGGAUGGGGAGCGUCGGUGCACAGCCAUUUUCAGAUCUCUCCAGAGAUGUUCAAUCGGGUUCAGGGCUCUGGCUGGGCCACUCAAGGACAUUCACAGAGUCCCAAAGCCACUCCUUUGUUAUCUUGGCUGUGUGCUUCGGGUCGUUGUCCUGUUGGAAGAUAAACCGUCGCCCCAGUCUGAGGUCCAGAGCGUUGGAGCAUGUUUUCGUCGAGGAUGUCUCUCUGUACAUUGCUGCAUUCAUCUUUCCCUCAAUCCUGACUAGUUUCCCAGUUCCUUCUGCUGAAAAGCAUCCCCACAGCAUGAUGCUGCCACCACCAUGCUUCACUGUAGGGAUGGUAUUGGCCAGGUGAUGAGCAGCGCCUGGUCUCCUCCAGACAUGACGCUUGGCAUUCAGGUCAAAGAGUUCAAUCUUUGUUUCAUCAGACCAGAGAAUUUUGUUUCUCAUGGUCUGAGAGUCCUUCAGGCGGGCUGUCAUGUGCUUUUUACUGAGUGGCUUCCGUCUGGCCACUCUACCAAACAGGCCUGAUUUGUGGAGUGCUGCAGAGAUGGUUGUCCUUCUGGAAGGUUCUCCUCUCUUCAUAGAACAACCCUGGAGCUCUGUCAGAGUGACCAUCGGCUUCCUGGUCACCUCCCUGACUAAGGCCCUUCUCCCCCGAUCGCUCAGUCUGGCUGGGCGGCCAAGCUGUAAGCCAUAAUCAGCAAUAUUAAAAGAAUAAAAGGCUUGCAAUAUUUUAGUUGAUUUGUAAUGAAUCCAGAUUGCAUGACAUUUUUGUUUUUUUAAUUGCAUCACAGAAAAUAAAGAACUUUAUCACAAUAUUCUAAUUUUCCGAGACAGUCCUGUAUAUAGACAGUGUGUGUCUUUCUCAAUGAUGUCCAAUCAACUGAAUUUACAGGUGGACUCCAAUCAAGUUGUAGAAACAUCUCAAGGAUGAUCAGUGGAAACCGGAGGCACCUGAGCUAAGCAUUGACUGUCAUGGCAAAAGCUGUGAAUACUUAUGUACAUGUUAUGUUUUCGUUCUUUAUUUUUAACAGAUUUGCAAAAAAUAGCAAAAAACAGUUUUCACUUUGUCAUUAUGGGUUGUUGUGUGUAGAAUGUUGAGGAAAAUAAUGAAUUUAAUCCAUUUUGGAAUAAGGCUGUAACAUAACAAAAUGUGGAAAAAGUGAAGCGCUGUGAAUACUUUCCGGAUGCACUGUAUCUAUUGUAUAUUGCAGUUUGUACAAAUUGUUCUGAGAAAUGCACUUACUAUUUUGCACCUGUUAGGGAUGGUGUGAAAAACGCAACAAAGCGACUGAGAAAAACUGUAAAAACUGGUGCGUGAGAAGAAAAAAGUCCUGAAUUUAAAACUUUACUGAAGUAAAAGUAAAGAUUGACAUGAUGUUUUAUUCACAACCACAGGGAGUGCUUUUAUGUAUUAGGUAAUAGUUUAUUACAAAAUAUGAAUUGCUUUUGAAAAUUAAUAAGCAACACUUUUGUGCUACUUAAUUUAAUCAUAAAAAAAAUCAAUUUGGGCAGUCCCUUUGAACUGCAGGAAAGUCAGGACCAGGGCCUUGUGGCACUGUGAUGUGGCCUAUGGAAACAUACCUCAGUAUUUGCAUAUUAUGCUUCAGCUCAAAGAAAACACGAGUCAAUCAAAGACGGCAUUUUAAACGUGUCAUAUGUACAGCGUCUUUAACCAAAGCAUGUCAUUCCAGUUCACAUUACUGAGAACACAAACGUGUUUUUUCUCUGUUUGCUAAAAGGGAUUCCACCUACUAGACGAUUAGGAUCAGGGAUUACAUUAUUAGUUUCAGAACAGUAAGUGCCCCAUGCUGUACGCAAAUGAAGAAUUAUCCCCCGCAGCUCCUCUGCACUUAUUUCAAUUGAAAGUGAAUAUCAGUUUUACUGUUUUUGGCUAAUGCAGGCAGAAAAAUCCCUAAAGGGCCACUGCAUAUGGCAUGCUCAUCCCCAAACAGCACAUGGACACAGCUAAAGAGUAGCUUUUUGAACAUAGUGGAGCUAAAGAGUCAGAGUAGGAGUUGGUGGAGACCAAAACAAGAGCUAAAAGGACAUUAAAUAUGGGACUGACAUUCCUCAAGUGGACACAAACAUGCAUACAAUUGAAUGAUCAUGUUGCUCCAUAACUGCUGGAUGAACAAUUUUGCUAUUUUAACUUGAGACUGUUGUGUGCACAGGUCUCUGCUGCUCUGUGAAGUGUUUUAAUCAGUUACUGAGUUUCAAAAACAAGUGCUAGAUAUAGCGUUGAUUCCAGUCUUUGCAUGGGCCUACAUGCACCCUAUUCAACACAUUAAAGUACAUGUUUAUGGGCCCUCUUAUACUAUACUUUCGUUAACAACAAACAAUGCAUUUAGUGGCCUUAUUUACACGCUUUGAUUAGUGGACUUUUCUCAUCCAACAGUGUGCUGAGAGACAUCCCUUUUCCAGUCUUGCACGUGAGUCCCUGCACGUACCACGCGAGUUCGAUAGCAUCCCUCAAAU
This is a long non-coding RNA of Gasterosteus aculeatus aculeatus (three-spined stickleback), 3721 nucleotides long. The record is from Ensembl. Lineage: Eukaryota; Metazoa; Chordata; Actinopteri; Perciformes; Gasterosteidae.